This 253-nucleotide ribosomal RNA is filed under the name uncultured bacterium. Its description in RNAcentral is "partial 16S ribosomal RNA". It matches the Rfam family "Bacterial small subunit ribosomal RNA", at positions 524 to 776 of the family's 1533-position model. The record is from RNAcentral.
UACGGAAGGGGCAAGCGUUGUUCGGAAUCAUUGGGCGUAAAGGGCGCGCAGGUGGUUCUGUAUGUCUACCGUGAAAGCGUACGGCUCAACCGUAUUUUGUCGGUAGAAACUGCAGGACUUGAGGCUGGGAGGGGCUGGUGGAAUUCCCUGUGUAGCGGUGAAAUGCGUAGAGAUGGGGGAGAACACUAGUGGCGAAGACGGCCAGCUAGACCAGUUCUGACACUGAGGCGCGACAGCGUGGGGAGCAAACAGG